This is a long non-coding RNA of Capra hircus (goat), 460 nucleotides long. RefSeq lists it as uncharacterized. NCBI's taxonomy places the organism in Eukaryota, Metazoa, Chordata, Mammalia, Artiodactyla, Bovidae. The transcript is spliced from 3 exons. The record is from RefSeq and is a predicted model, not a curated record.
GUGCGGGGCUGCUGGUAGUGUAUUAAGAUGGUGUAUUGUAAACAAAUUCCCCAGGUAAAGCCUAAGUACUAGAGUUUGAGAAUUACCGUACAAUGUUUCUCAACUGCACUAUUUACUUUGGUGGAAAAUGUGAAACAACUCGCUGCCUCUCACUGGGAGCCGAUUGCUUACAGUCACUCUGGGACCUCCGCACAGCAGUAUGUGUACUGGGGUACCAGGUGGAAUGCAUUGUAGCUUGCUUUUUAUUCACUUGGAUGCAGCCCUGAUGUCCUCAUUUACGCCAUUGUAUGUAUGGAAGGCGGUUGCCUUUACUGGCAAAUCUGGUAAAUCUUGUUAUUUAUGUCACUAUUUUCCUUAGCUUUUAUGGUUGUUGUCCUUUCCAGAGCUUAUGAAUUCCUACUAGAAUCCUCUGAAAUAUAUUUAUGUAACAAAGGUGUUUUCUAUAAAAGGACUUUAAGAU